This 468-nucleotide ribosomal RNA is filed under the name uncultured bacterium. Its description in RNAcentral is "partial 16S ribosomal RNA". It matches the Rfam family "Bacterial small subunit ribosomal RNA", at positions 28 to 507 of the family's 1533-position model. The record is from RNAcentral.
GACGAACGCUGGCGGCGUGCUUAACACAUGCAAGUCGAACGGAAAGGCCCUGCUUUUGUGGGGUGCUCGAGUGGCGAACGGGUGAGUAACACGUGAGUAACCUGCCCUUGACUUUGGGAUAACUUCAGGAAACUGGGGCUAAUACCGGAUAGGAGCUCCUGCUGCAUGGUGGGGGUUGGAAAGUUUCGGCGGUUGGGGAUGGACUCGCGGCUUAUCAGCUUGUUGGUGGGGUAGUGGCUUACCAAGGCUUUGACGGGUAGCCGGCCUGAGAGGGUGACCGGCCACAUUGGGACUGAGAUACGGCCCAGACUCCUACGGGAGGCAGCAGUGGGGAAUAGUGCACAAUGGGCGGAAGCCUGAUGCAGCAACGCCGCGUGCGGGAUGACGGCCUUUGGGUUGUAAACCGCUUUCGCCUGUGACGAAGCGUGAGUGACGGUAAUGGGUAAAGAAGCACCGGCUAACUACGUG